This 432-nucleotide ribosomal RNA is filed under the name Triticum aestivum (bread wheat). RNAcentral describes it as "partial small subunit ribosomal RNA". The record is from RNAcentral. Lineage: Eukaryota; Viridiplantae; Streptophyta; Magnoliopsida; Poales; Poaceae.
AUGGAGAACAAGUCACCACCUAAUCAAUUGGUUGAAGUAUCUAAGAGAAUUUUAAAAAUAUGUGGGGGAGUUCCGCUAGCUAUCCUUGCGAUAGGUAGCUUGCUGUCUAGUGAAAAGGGAAGAGCACAUACACAUGAGUAUUGGUCCAAGGUGUACAAAUCCAUCAGUUCGGGGCUAGACAAUAAUCAUGAUGAUGUGAAGAACAUGAGGAGAAUAUUAUCUGAGGUCAUGGAAGCGAUGAAGCUUGCAAUGUGGUGCUUACAGGUUGACAGCAGCAGAAGGCCCUUGAUGUCAACGGUCGCAAAGGUGUUGGAACGCGCGACCAGCUUGGAGGCUGCACCCGACUACAGCUUUGUCCCUAGUUUUGUAUCAAAUUGUGCUAGUGGCGCAGGGACAACUUCUUCCUAUGUGCCAUCAGAAUCGCAUUUAUGA